This 245-nucleotide ribosomal RNA is filed under the name uncultured bacterium. RNAcentral describes it as "partial 16S ribosomal RNA". It matches the Rfam family "Bacterial small subunit ribosomal RNA", at positions 15 to 252 of the family's 1533-position model. The record is from RNAcentral.
GAUCCUGGCUCAGGAUGAACGCUAGCGGCAGGCCUAACACAUGCAAGUCGAGGGGCAGCGGGAUUGAAGCUUGCUUCAAUCGCCGGCGACCGGCGCACGGGUGCGUAACGCGUAUGCAACCUACCCAGAACAGGGGGAUAACACUGAGAAAUUGGUACUAAUAUCCCAUAACAUCAUAAGGGGCAUCCCUUUUGGUUGAAAACUCCGGUGGUUCUGGAUGGGCAUGCGUUGUAUUAGCUGGUUGG